UGCCAGCCGCCGCGGUAAGACGAAGGUGGCGAGCGUUAUUCGGAUUUACUGGGCAUAAAGCGCGCGUAGGCGGCCUGAUCAGUCGGAGGUGAAAGCCCGCAGCUCAACUGCGGAACUGCCCCCGAUACUGUCAGGCUUGAGUGCAGGAGAGGUGACCGGAACUCCAGGUGUAGCGGUGAAAUGCGUGGAUAUCUGGAGGAACACCAGAGGCGAAGGCGGGUCACUGGACUGCUACUGACGCUGAGGCGCGAAAGCUAGGGGAGCAAACAGGAUUAGAUA
This 279-nucleotide ribosomal RNA is filed under the name uncultured bacterium. RNAcentral's name for it is "partial 16S ribosomal RNA". It matches the Rfam family "Bacterial small subunit ribosomal RNA", at positions 506 to 784 of the family's 1533-position model. The record is from RNAcentral.